AGCGCAGGCGGGAAGACAAGUUGGAAGUGAAAACCAUGGGCUCAACCCAUGAAUUGCCUUCAAAACUGUUUUUCUUGAGUAGUACAGAGGUAGAUGGAAUUCCCGGUGUAGCGGUGGAAUGCGUAGAUAUCGGGAGGAACACCAGUGGCGAAGGCGGUCUACUGGGCACCAACUGACGCUGAGGCUCGAAAGCAUGGGUAAGCAAACA
RNAcentral lists this ribosomal RNA (208 nucleotides) under uncultured bacterium. RNAcentral describes it as "partial 16S ribosomal RNA". It matches the Rfam family "Bacterial small subunit ribosomal RNA", at positions 568 to 774 of the family's 1533-position model. The record is from RNAcentral.